Molecule: transfer RNA, 74 nt
Filed under: Lactobacillus taiwanensis
Lineage: Bacteria; Bacillati; Bacillota; Bacilli; Lactobacillales; Lactobacillaceae
Description: tRNA-Ile
Rfam family: tRNA
About the family: Transfer RNA (tRNA) molecules are approximately 80 nucleotides in length. Their secondary structure includes four short double-helical elements and three loops (D, anti-codon, and T loops).
Source: RNAcentral
GGGACUAUGGCUCAUCUGGGUAGUGCGCACGCCUGAUAAGCGGGAGGUCGAUGGUUCAAGGCCAUUUAGGCCCA